Molecule: transfer RNA, 69 nt
Filed under: Afroedura sp. multiporus
Lineage: Eukaryota; Metazoa; Chordata; Lepidosauria; Squamata; Gekkonidae
Description: tRNA-His
Source: RNAcentral
GUCAACAUAGUUUAUAUAAAACACUAGGUUGUGGACCUAGCAAUAGAAACUAACACGCUCUUGCUGACC